UGAGGGAUAUUGGUCAAUGGGCGCAAGCCUGAACCAGCGACGCCGCGUGGGUGAAGAAGGUCUUCGGAUCGUAAAGCCCUUUUCCCACUGAAGAGGAAGGACGGUAGGUGGGGAAGAAGUCUCGGCUACUACGUGCCAGCAGCCGCGGUAAAACGUAGGAGACAAGCGUUAUCCGGAGUUACUGGGCGUAAAGGGCGUGCAGGUGGCGUCUUAAGUCUGUUGUGAAAGCGCCUGGCUUAACCGGGCGAGGCCAAUGGAGACUGAGAGGCUGGAGGACGGCGGAGGGGUGUGGAAUUCCGGGUGUAGUGGUGAAAUGCGUAGAGAUCCGGAGGAACACCAGAGGCGAAGGCGGCACUCUAAGCCGUACCUGACACUGAGACGCGACAGCACGGGGAGCAAACG
This 402-nucleotide ribosomal RNA is filed under the name uncultured bacterium. RNAcentral's name for it is "bacterial SSU rRNA". It matches the Rfam family "Bacterial small subunit ribosomal RNA", at positions 355 to 774 of the family's 1533-position model. The record is from RNAcentral.